UAGUACGGGCGAGUGAAGUGGGAAAAGCUCAACUUUGAAAUCUGGUACUUUCAGUAUCCGAAUUGUAGUCUCAAGAAGUGUUUUCUGUGCCGGUCCAUGUAUGAGUCUGUUGGAACACAGCGUCAUAGAGGGUGACAACCCCGUUCAUGACAUGGAUCCCGGUGCUUUGUGAUACACUCUCGAAGAGUCGAGUUGUUUGGGAAUGCAGCUCACAUUGGGUGGUAAAUUCCAUCUAAAGCUAAAUAUUGGCGAGAGACCGAUAGCAAACAAGUACCGUGAGGGAAAGAUGAAAAGCACUUUGGAAAGAGAGUUAACAGUACGUGAAAUUGUUGAAAGGGAAACGAUUGAAGUCAGACGUGCGUGAUGCGGUUCAGCUUUAGUUCGCUAGAGUGUACUCCGUAUCUUUGCAGGCCAACAUCGGUUUUGUUAGUCGGAUAAAGGUUUGAGAAAUGUGGCACCUUCGGGUGUGUUAUAGUCUCAGACUGAAUACGAUUGAUGGGACCGAGGAACGCAGCGCGCCGCAGGGCAAAGGUUCCGACCUUUUCGCGCUUAGGAUGUUGGUGAAAUGGCUUUAAACGACCCGCU
RNAcentral lists this ribosomal RNA (585 nucleotides) under Basidiomycota sp. 3 HFP-2013. Its description in RNAcentral is "eukaryotic LSU rRNA". It matches the Rfam family "Eukaryotic large subunit ribosomal RNA", at positions 81 to 653 of the family's 3401-position model. Lineage: Eukaryota; Fungi; Basidiomycota. The record is from RNAcentral.